GCGCAAGCGACGUUCAACCUCAGAAGAAGCAGAGGGGGCUUAGUGGUGGGGUGACUGCGUACCUUUUGUAUAAUGGGUCAGCGACUUAUAUUCUGUAGCAAGGUUAACCGCAUAGGGGAGCCGAAGGGAAACCGAGUCUUAAUUGGGCGUUAAGUUGCAGGGUAUAGACCCGAAACCCGGUGAUCUAGCCAUGGGCAGGUUGAAGGUUGGGUAACACUAACUGGAGGACCGAACCGACUAAUGUUGAAAAAUUAGCGGAUGACCUGUGGCUGGGGGUGAAAGGCCAAUCAAACCGGGAGAUAGCUGGUUCUCCCCGAAAGCUAUUUAGGUAGCGCCUCGUGAACUCAUCUCCGGGGGUAGAGCACUGUUUCGGCUAGGGGGCCAUCCCGGCUUACCAACCCGAUGCAAACUGCGAAUACCGGAGAAUGUUAUCACGGGAGACACACGGCGGGUGCUAACGUCCGUCGUGAAGAGGGAAACAACCCAGACCGCCAGCUAAGGUCCCAAAGUCAUGGUUAAGUGGGAAACGAUGUGGGAAGGCCCAGACAGCCAGGAUGUUGGCUUAGAAGCAGCCAUCAUUUAAAGAAAGCGUAAUAGCUCACUGGUCGAGUCGGCCUGCGCGGAAGAUGUAACGGGGCUAAACCAUGCACCGAAGCUGCGGCAGCGACACUGUGUGUUGUUGGGUAGGGGAGCGUUCUGUAAGCCGUUGAAGGUAUCCUGUGAGGGGUGCUGGAGGUAUCAGAAGUGCGAAUGCUGACAUAAGUAACGAUAAAGCGGGUGAAAAGCCCGCUCGCCGGAAGACCAAGGGUUCCUGUCCAACGUUAAUCGGGGCAGGGUGAGUCGACCCCUAAGGCGAGGCCGAAAGGCGUAGUCGAUGGGAAACGGGUUAAUAUUCCCGUACUUGGUGUUACUGCGAAGGGGGGACGGAGAAGGCUAUGUUGGCCGGGCGACGGUUGUCCCGGUUUAAGCGUGUAGGUGUGUGUUCCAGGUAAAUCCGGUUCACUUUAACACUGAGGCGUGAUGACGAGGCACCACGGUGCUGAAGCAACAAAUGCCCUGCUUCCAGGAAAAGCCUCUAAGCAUCAGGUAACAUCAAAUCGUACCCCAAACCGACACAGGUGGUCAGGUAGAGAAUACCAAGGCGCUUGAGAGAACUCGGGUGAAGGAACUAGGCAAAAUGGUGCCGUAACUUCGGGAGAAGGCACGCUGACACGUAGGUGAAGUGAUUUACUCAUGGAGCUGAAGUCAGUCGAAGAUACCAGCUGGCUGCAACUGUUUAUUAAAAACACAGCACUGUGCAAACACGAAAGUGGACGUAUACGGUGUGACGCCUGCCCGGUGCCGGAAGGUUAAUUGAUGGGGUCAGCGCAAGCGAAGCUCCUGAUCGAAGCCCCGGUAAACGGCGGCCGUAACUAUAACGGUCCUAAGGUAGCGAAAUUCCUUGUCGGGUAAGUUCCGACCUGCACGAAUGGCGUAAUGAUGGCCAGGCUGUCUCCACCCGAGACUCAGUGAAAUUGAACUCGCUGUGAAGAUGCAGUGUACCCGCGGCAAGACGGAAAGACCCCGUGAACCUUUACUAUAGCUUGACACUGAACAUUGAGCCUUGAUGUGUAGGAUAGGUGGGAGGCUUUGAAGCGUGGACGCCAGUCUGCGUGGAGCCGACCUUGAAAUACCACCCUUUAAUGUUUGAUGUUCUAACGUGGACCCGUAAUCCGGGUUGCGGACAGUGUCUGGUGGGUAGUUUGACUGGGGCGGUCUCCUCCUAAAGAGUAACGGAGGAGCACGAAGGUUGGCUAAUCCUGGUCGGACAUCAGGAGGUUAGUGCAAUGGCAUAAGCCAGCUUGACUGCGAGCGUGACGGCGCGAGCAGGUGCGAAAGCAGGUCAUAGUGAUCCGGUGGUUCUGAAUGGAAGGGCCAUCGCUCAACGGAUAAAAGGUACUCCGGGGAUAACAGGCUGAUACCGCCCAAGAGUUCAUAUCGACGGCGGUGUUUGGCACCUCGAUGUCGGCUCAUCACAUCCUGGGGCUGAAGUAGGUCCCAAGGGUAUGGCUGUUCGCCAUUUAAAGUGGUACGCGAGCUGGGUUUAGAACGUCGUGAGACAGUUCGGUCCCUAUCUGCCGUGGGCGCUGGAAGACUGAGGGGGGCUGCUCCUAGUACGAGAGGACCGGAGUGGACGCAUCACUGGUGUUCGGGUUGUCAUGCCAAUGGCACUGCCCGGUAGCUAAAUGCGGAAAAGAUAAGUGCUGAAAGCAUCUAAGCACGAAACUUGCCCCGAGAUGAGUCUUCCCUGAGACCUUGAGUCUCCUGAAGGAACGUUAAAGACGAUGACGUUGAUAGGCCGGGUGUGUAAGCGCAGCGAUGCGUUGAGCUAACCGGUACUAAUGAACCGUGAGGCUUAACCUUACAACGCCGAAG
Molecule: ribosomal RNA, 2415 nt
Filed under: Salmonella enterica subsp. diarizonae serovar 61:k:1,5,7
Lineage: Bacteria; Pseudomonadati; Pseudomonadota; Gammaproteobacteria; Enterobacterales; Enterobacteriaceae
Description: partial 23S ribosomal RNA
Rfam family: Bacterial large subunit ribosomal RNA
Source: RNAcentral